AUUGAACGCUGGCGGCAUGCUUUACACAUGCAAGUCGAACGGUAACAGGGUGCUUGCACCGCUGACGAGUGGCGAACGGGUGAGUAAUGCGUCGGAACGUGCCGAGUAGUGGGGGAUAACGCAGCGAAAGUUGUGCUAAUACCGCAUACGUACUGAGGUAGAAAGUGGGGGACCUUCGGGCCUUACGCUAUUCGAGCGGCCGACGUCUGAUUAGCUAGUAGGUGAGGUAAAGGCUCACCUAGGCGACGAUCAGUAGCGGGUCUGAGAGGAUGAUCCGCCACACUGGGACUGAGACACGGGCCAGACUCCUACGGGAGGCAGCAGUGGGGAAUUUUGUACAAUGGGCGAAAGCCUGAUCCAGCCAUGCCGCGUGUCUGAAGAAGGCCUUCGGGUUGUAAAGGACUUUUGUCAGGGAGGAAAACCCUAGUGCUAAUAACACUGGGGGAUGACAGUACCUGAAGAAUAAGCACCGGCUAACUACGUGCCAGCAGCCGCGGUAA
Molecule: ribosomal RNA, 500 nt
Filed under: uncultured bacterium
Lineage: Bacteria
Description: partial 16S ribosomal RNA
Rfam family: Bacterial small subunit ribosomal RNA
Source: RNAcentral